This 699-nucleotide ribosomal RNA is filed under the name Triticum aestivum (bread wheat). RNAcentral describes it as "partial small subunit ribosomal RNA". The record is from RNAcentral. Lineage: Eukaryota; Viridiplantae; Streptophyta; Magnoliopsida; Poales; Poaceae.
CUGCAGAUUGCAAAGGAGGAAUCAAAAGCAGUUGCAGGAGCAAGCGCCAUGAAAGCAAUUAAUCAGUGAAUGGAGAAAGAUAUUCAUGAAGUGGGGAGAACUGCUCCUAUGGCAAAAACAGAAGUUGAUGAACUGGAAAAGAUGAGCGUGUCUAACUGGCAGAAACCUGGAUGCGGGAAGGGGUCUGCGGUAGAUCGAUCAAGGGAACAGACUACUGGAGCAGUGAAAAAGAAAUUGAAGGAACGGAUGGACGAUUUUCAGGUAUUGAGAGAAACAAUCAUGCAGGAGUACUGGGAAGUUGUCGAAAGAAGGGUAUUUACUGUAACUGGUAAUCGCCCUGAUGAAGAGACAAUUGACGAUUUAAUCGAGACAGGGUGAAGCGAGCAAAUUUUGAAAGAUGCGGUUCAACAGCAGGGGAGAGGCCAGAUAUUGGAUGCUGCUGCUGAGAUACAGGCGCGGCAUGAUGCUGUAAGAGAUCUAGAGAGCAGGCUUCUGGAGUUGCAGCAGAUAUUCCUGGAUAUGGCAGUAUUGGUUGAGUCUCAAGGAAACAUGAUCUAUAGAGACACAUAGGUUUCAAAUGCUACUGAUCACAUACAGCAAGGUGUGGGUGCUCUCCAGGCAAAGAAGCUGCAGAAAAACUCGAGAAAGUGGUUAGCAUCGUGGUCGGGAUUAAACAGCCAUGGAAGAAGUAACCCUUGA